Molecule: ribosomal RNA, 445 nt
Filed under: uncultured bacterium
Lineage: Bacteria
Description: partial 16S ribosomal RNA
Rfam family: Bacterial small subunit ribosomal RNA
Source: RNAcentral
GUGAGGAAUAUUGGUCAAUGGGCGAGAGCCUGAACCAGCCAAGUCGCGUGAAGGAAGACGGCCCUACGGGUUGUAAACUUCUUUUGCAAUGGAAUAAAAAGAGUUACGUGUAAUUCAUUGUAUGUACAUUGCGAAUAAGGAUCGGCUAACUCCGUGCCAGCAGCCGCGGUAAUACGGAGGAUCCGAGCGUUAUCCGGAUUUAUUGGGUUUAAAGGGUGGGUAGGCGGAUUGGAAAGUCAGCGGUGAAAGUUUGCAGCUUAACUGUAAAAUUGCCAUUGAAACUGUCAGUCUUGAGUGCAAAUGAGGUAGGCGGAAUGUGUUGUGUAGCGGUGAAAUGCAUAGAUAUCACGCAGAACUCCGAUUGCGAAGGCAGCUUACUAAGCUACAACUGACACUGAAGCACGAAAGCGUGGGGAUCAAACAGGAUUAGAAACCCCGGUAGUCC